This 468-nucleotide ribosomal RNA is filed under the name uncultured bacterium. RNAcentral's name for it is "partial 16S ribosomal RNA". It matches the Rfam family "Bacterial small subunit ribosomal RNA", at positions 28 to 507 of the family's 1533-position model. The record is from RNAcentral.
GACGAACGCUGGCGGCGUGCUUAACACAUGCAAGUCGAACGGAAAGGCCCUGCUUUUGUGGGGUGCUCGAGUGGCGAAAGGGUGAGUAACAAGUGAGUAACCUGCCCUUGACUUUGGGAUAACUUCAGGAAACUGGGGCUAAUACCGGAUAGGAGCUCCUGCUGCAUGGUGGGGGGUGGAAAGUUUCGGCGGUUGGGGAUGGACUCGCGGCUUAUCAGCUUGUUGGUGGGGUAGUGGCUUACCAAGGCUUUGACGGGUAGCCGGCCUGAGAGGGUGACCGGCCACAUUGGGACUGAGAUACGGCCCAGACUCCUACGGGAGGCAGCAGUGGGGAAUAUUGCACAAUGGGCGGAAGCCUGAUGCAGCAACGCCGCGUGCGGGAUGACGGCCUUCGGGUUGUAAACCGCUUUCGCCUGUGACGAAGCGUGAGUGACGGUAAUGGGUAAAGAAGCACCGGCUAACUACGUG